This 253-nucleotide ribosomal RNA is filed under the name uncultured bacterium. RNAcentral describes it as "partial 16S ribosomal RNA". It matches the Rfam family "Bacterial small subunit ribosomal RNA", at positions 524 to 776 of the family's 1533-position model. The record is from RNAcentral.
UACGAAGGGGGCUAGCGUUGCUCGGAAUUACUGGGCGUAAAGGGAGCGUAGGCGGAUAGUUUAGUCAGAGGUGAAAGCCCAGGGCUCAACCUUGGAAUUGCCUUUGAUACUGGCUAUCUUGAGUACGGAAGAGGUAUGUGGAACUCCGAGUGUAGAGGUGAAAUUCGUAGAUAUUCGGAAGAACACCAGUGGCGAAGGCGACAUACUGGUCCGUUACUGACGCUGAGGCACGAAAGCGUGGGGAGCAAACAGG